CAGUCGCCGCGGGAAUACAGAGGGUGCAAGCGUUAAUCGGAAUUACUGGGCGUAAAGCACGCGUAGGUGGUUUGUUAAGUUGGAUGUGAAAUCCCCGGGCUCAACCUGGGAACUGCAUCCAAAACUGGCAAGCUAGAGUAUGGUAGAGGGUGGUGGAAUUUCCUGUGUAGCGGUGAAAUGCGUAGAUAUAGGAAGGAACACCAGUGGCGAAGGCGACCACCUGGACUGAUACUGACACUGAGGUGCGAAAGCGUGGGGAGCAAACAGGAUUAGAUACCCCGGUAGUCCCUGUCUCUUAUAC
This 301-nucleotide ribosomal RNA is filed under the name uncultured bacterium. Its description in RNAcentral is "partial 16S ribosomal RNA". It matches the Rfam family "Bacterial small subunit ribosomal RNA", at positions 509 to 807 of the family's 1533-position model. The record is from RNAcentral.